This 491-nucleotide ribosomal RNA is filed under the name uncultured bacterium. RNAcentral describes it as "bacterial SSU rRNA". It matches the Rfam family "Bacterial small subunit ribosomal RNA", at positions 18 to 507 of the family's 1533-position model. The record is from RNAcentral.
CCUGGCUCAGAUUGAACGCUGGCGGCAUGCCUUACACAUGCAAGUCGAACGGCAGCGGACCUUCGGGUGCCGGCGAGUGGCGAACGGUGAGUAAUAUAUCGGAACGUACCUUUCAGUGGGGGAUAACGUAGCGAAAGUUACGCUAAUACCGCAUAUUCUGUGAGCAGGAAAGCAGGGGAUCGCAAGACCUUGCGCUGAUUGAGCGGCCGAUAUCAGAUUAGCUAGUUGGUGAGGUAAAGGCUCACCAAGGCGACGAUCUGUAGCGGGUCUGAGAGGAUGAUCCGCCACACUGGAACUGAGACACGGUCCAGACUCCUACGGGAGGCAGCAGUGGGGAAUUUUGGACAAUGGGCGCAAGCCUGACCCAGCCAUGCCGCGUGUGUGAAGAAGGCCUUCGGGUUGUAAAGCACUUUCAGUCGUAAAGAAAAGCUCUGGGUUAAUACCUCAGGGCCAUGACGUUAGCGACAGAAGAAGCACCGGCUAACCCCGUG